AGCAGUAAGGGAAUCUUCCACAAUGGGCGAAAGCCUGAUGGAGCAACGCCGCGUGUGUGAUGAAGGGUUUCGGCUCGUAAAACACUGUUGUAAGAGAAGAAUGACAUUGAGAGUAACUGUUCAAUGUGUGACGGUAUCUUACCAGAAAGGAACGGCUAAAUACGUGCCAG
This 170-nucleotide ribosomal RNA is filed under the name uncultured bacterium. RNAcentral describes it as "partial 16S rRNA". It matches the Rfam family "Bacterial small subunit ribosomal RNA", at positions 350 to 511 of the family's 1533-position model. The record is from RNAcentral.